ACCCUUAGCUCAGUUGGUAGAGCAACUGACUCUUAAUCAGUGGGUCUAGGGUUCGAAUCCCUAAGGGUGUA
RNAcentral lists this transfer RNA (71 nucleotides) under Prevotella melaninogenica. RNAcentral describes it as "tRNA-Lys(ctt)". It matches the Rfam family "tRNA". From Rfam's summary of the family: Transfer RNA (tRNA) molecules are approximately 80 nucleotides in length. Their secondary structure includes four short double-helical elements and three loops (D, anti-codon, and T loops). The record is from RNAcentral. Lineage: Bacteria; Pseudomonadati; Bacteroidota; Bacteroidia; Bacteroidales; Prevotellaceae. RNAcentral also lists the same sequence under 4 other names.